AGCAGCCGCGGUAAUUCCAGCUCCAAUAGCGUAUAUUAAAGUUGCUGCAGUUAAAAAGCUCGUAGUUGAAUUUCGGGACCAUCAUGUCGGUCGUGCCUCGGUACGUACUGGCAUUGUUGGUUUCUACCUUCUGACGAACCAUGAUGUCAUUAAUUUGAUGUCAUGGGGAAUCAGGACUGUUACUUUGAAAAAAUUGAGUGUUUAAAGCAGGCUCGCGCUUGAAUACAUUAGCAUGGAAUAAUGAAAUAGGACAUUUGAUUCUAUUUUGUUGGUUUCUAGGAUCGAUGUAAUGAUUAAUAGGGAUAGUUGGGGGCAUUAGUAUUCAAUUGUCAGAGGUGAAAUUCUUGGAUUUAUUGAAGACUAACUACUGCGAAAGCAUUUGCCAAGGAUGUUUUCAUUAAUCAAGAACGAAAGUUAGGGGAUCGAAGACGAUCAGAUACCGUCGUAGUCUUAACCAUAAACUA
Molecule: ribosomal RNA, 464 nt
Filed under: uncultured Glomus
Lineage: Eukaryota; Fungi; Glomeromycota; Glomeromycetes; Glomerales; Glomeraceae
Description: SSU rRNA
Rfam family: Eukaryotic small subunit ribosomal RNA
Source: RNAcentral